AUUGAACGCUGGCGGCAGGCCUAACACAUGCAAGUCGAGCGGAUGAAGGGAGCUUGCUCCUGGAUUCAGCGGCGGACGGGUGAGUAAUGCCUAGGAAUCUGCCUGGUAGUGGGGGAUAACGUCCGGAAACGGGCGCUAAUACCGCAUACGUCCUGAGGGAGAAAGUGGGGGAUCUUCGGACCUCACGCUAUCAGAUGAGCCUAGGUCGGAUUAGCUAGUUGGUGGGGUAAGGCCUACCAAGGCGACGAUCCGUAACUGGUCUGAGAGGAUGAUCAGUCACACUGGAACUGAGACACGGUCCAGACUCCUACGGGAGGCAGCAGUGGGGAAUAUUGGACAAUGGGCGAAAGCCUGAUCCAGCCAUGCCGCGUGUGUGAAGAAGGUCUUCGGAUUGUAAAGCACUUUAAGUUGGGAGGAAGGGCAGUAAGUAAAUACCUUGCUGUUUUGACGUUACCAACAGAAUAAGCACCGGCUAACUUCGUG
RNAcentral lists this ribosomal RNA (483 nucleotides) under uncultured bacterium. RNAcentral describes it as "partial 16S ribosomal RNA". It matches the Rfam family "Bacterial small subunit ribosomal RNA", at positions 30 to 507 of the family's 1533-position model. The record is from RNAcentral.